RNAcentral lists this ribosomal RNA (253 nucleotides) under uncultured bacterium. Its description in RNAcentral is "partial 16S ribosomal RNA". It matches the Rfam family "Bacterial small subunit ribosomal RNA", at positions 524 to 776 of the family's 1533-position model. The record is from RNAcentral.
UACGAAGGGGGCUAGCGUUGUUCGGAUUUACUGGGCGUAAAGGGCGCGUAGGCGGCCUUGUCAGUCAGGCGUGAAAGCCCCGGGCUCAACCUGGGAACGGCGCUUGGGACGGCGAGGCUGGAGUUCGGGAGAGGAGAGUGGAAUUCCCAGUGUAGAGGUGAAAUUCGUAGAUAUUGGGAAGAACACCGGUGGCGAAGGCGGCUCUCUGGACCGACACUGACGCUGAGGCGCGAAAGCGUGGGGAGCAAACAGG